GGUGCUCCCAGAGGCUGCGCCCUGGGACACCGCUUCUAGAGAGGAGUGGUUCACACAGGCGCACGGGGUGGGGACAGACCCUAGCAUCGGAGCCAGACCCCGUCACCGCACGGGCCUGAGAAACCAGCGAGGCUCGUUACAAGGCCAGGCGCCUGUGAGUCACACUUUGCUGCUCCUGUUUGAGUUCUCAGAUAUCUAGAGUAGUCGUUAGGUAAAUACACAUCGACAUGCUCCUUCUCUAGCCACUUCCGCACCAUGUGCCCAUGGCAACCAGGAAGGCAGCAUGGAGAGGCCCUGGGGGCGAUGAGGGAGCUGCCGUAGAGACCCACAAUCCGCCGCUGUCAUCACUAAGAAACAAUUUUCACAAAACUGCAAAAGGAGAAACAUGGGGGCCAGCACCCCGGUUCCAGCAAGUGUGGAAAUCGCCGCAGGAAAAGCCUGCCACGUUCUGGGGUAGACCGAAGGCACCUGCAGAGCAGAGCGGCACUGCUGGGACACCCAGCCACCUCCCUCCUCCCCAGGCACUGUGUACUCCAGCUCCACAGCCCCUGAGCUACACCCAGGGCUUUCUUGGGCAAGAAGGUCAAAUGCUAAGCCUGCCAGGCACAUCACCACGGCCCUGCGGAGAGACAGCUCCACUUCCUGCCAGCCCAUCCUCCAGUGGUGCUUCUAUUCCACUGCAGUGUGUAGUCAUGGAGAUUUCGUCGGCACAAGAGACGCUCUUCCCAUUAUACACAUUUUUAAAGUUCACAAAUAUCCCAAGAAAUGAAUGAAAUCACAGACACUGGUCUGUUGCCUGUUAAAUAUCUCUGCACAAAAAGCAACAUUAUAUUCUCUGCUGCACCCUGAGGAACAUCUGCAGCUCCCAGAACUCAGUCUGCCUUGGUCUACAUUACUGUUUUCACUGCAGUCCUGCUUUUCUUUCUAGGAAGGAUGCCAAACUUGAUCUACCAACCCCUGUAGAUGAAAGCUGCAUUUGUUUCUGUCAUUGCUAUUGAUUAAUAUAUUUGUAGGAUAGUCCUGCCUACUGAGAUGAUGGUUCAAAGCAUAUGUGUGUGUUUAAUUUCAAUACAAAGACCCAAUUCCUUCCCUAAAAGGCUGUACUAAUCUAUAUGUCAGCCCUAAGGAAGCCCCCUGCCUUCUUGCAUCUAUACUUACAGCUAAAUCCAGUAUGCAACUAUCUAUCAGAAUACUGUAAAAUAAAUCCUCAGUCUGGAUUUAUUAAUACUGGACAUUUUUUAAAUG
Molecule: long non-coding RNA, 1245 nt
Filed under: Heterocephalus glaber (naked mole-rat)
Lineage: Eukaryota; Metazoa; Chordata; Mammalia; Rodentia; Bathyergidae
Description: lncRNA (ENSHGLG00100046056.1)
Source: RNAcentral